UACGUAGGGUGCGAGCGUUGUCCGGAAUUAUUGGGCGUAAAGAGCUCGUAGGCGGCUUGUCGCGUCGGAUGUGAAAGCCCGGGCUAACUCCGGGUCUGCAUUCGAUACGGGCAGGCUAGAGUUCGGUAGGGAGAAUGGAAUUCCCGGUGUAGCGGUGAAAUGCGCAGAGUAUCGGGAGGAACACCGGUGGCGAAGGCGGUUCUCUGGGCCUUACC
Molecule: ribosomal RNA, 215 nt
Filed under: uncultured bacterium
Lineage: Bacteria
Description: partial 16S ribosomal RNA
Rfam family: Bacterial small subunit ribosomal RNA
Source: RNAcentral